GUCUCGUUGGUGUAGUUGGUUAUCACGUCUGUCUAACACACAGACGGUCGGCGGUUCGAAUCCGCCACGAGACA
Molecule: non-coding RNA, 74 nt
Organism: Gigaspora rosea
Lineage: Eukaryota; Fungi; Glomeromycota; Glomeromycetes; Diversisporales; Gigasporaceae
Source: the annotation of a GenBank genome assembly